This 253-nucleotide ribosomal RNA is filed under the name uncultured bacterium. RNAcentral describes it as "partial 16S ribosomal RNA". It matches the Rfam family "Bacterial small subunit ribosomal RNA", at positions 524 to 776 of the family's 1533-position model. The record is from RNAcentral.
UACGUAGGGUGCAAGCGUUGUCCGGAAUUAUUGGGCGUAAAGAGCUCGUAGGCGGUCUGUCGCGUCGGCUGUGAAAACCCGAGGCUCAACCUCGGGCCUGCAGUCGAUACGGGCAAACUAGAGUACUGCAGGGGAGACUGGAAUUCCUGGUGUAGCGGUGAAGUGCGCAGAUAUCAGGAGGAACACCGGUGGCGAAGGCGGGUCUCUGGGCAGUAACUGACGCUGAGGAGCGAAAGCGUGGGGAGCGAACAGG